CAUUAGGUUGCUUUUGGUAUUUGUGGCUUGUGUAGUAUGGUUUCUAAUUGUUACAUUGUUUUUAAUUAGAUCAUGGCCCGCGCCCCCCUCCUCCCUUUUUUUUCCCCCUCCUUUUUAAGUUAUUUUCAAGUUUCUUAUCAUACCCCAUACCUAUGAAUUAAGUGGUGUAUUAGUAGUCUUUUCUGUUAUUUCAUUAUCUCCAACAAU
RNAcentral lists this unclassified non-coding RNA (207 nucleotides) under Hevea brasiliensis (rubber tree). Lineage: Eukaryota; Viridiplantae; Streptophyta; Magnoliopsida; Malpighiales; Euphorbiaceae. The record is from RNAcentral.